UUUGCUUAGAUUCUUCGGAUGAAGAGGAUUGUGACUGAGCGGCGGACGGGUGAGUAACGCGUGGGUAACCUGCCUCAUACAGGGGGAUAACAGUUAGAAAUGACUGCUAAUACCGCAUAAGACCACAGCACCGCAUGGUGCGGGGGUAAAAACUCCGGUGGUAUGAGAUGGACCCGCGUCUGAUUAGCUGGUUGGUAAGGUAACGGCUUACCAAGGCGACGAUCAGUAGCCGACCUGAGAGGGUGACCGGCCACAUUGGGACUGAGACACGGCCCAAACUCCUACGGGAGGCAGCAGUGGGGAAUAUUGCACAAUGGGGGAAACCCUGAUGCAGCGACGCCGCGUGAGCGAAGAAGUAUUUCGGUAUGUAAAGCUCUAUCAGCAGGGAA
Molecule: ribosomal RNA, 389 nt
Filed under: uncultured bacterium
Lineage: Bacteria
Description: bacterial SSU rRNA
Rfam family: Bacterial small subunit ribosomal RNA
Source: RNAcentral